Molecule: ribosomal RNA, 503 nt
Filed under: uncultured bacterium
Lineage: Bacteria
Description: partial 16S ribosomal RNA
Rfam family: Bacterial small subunit ribosomal RNA
Source: RNAcentral
AUUGAACGCUGGCGGCAGGCUUAACACAUGCAAGUCGAGCGGGGUGAUGGUGCUUGCACUAUCACUUAGCGGCGGACGGGUGAGUAAUGCUUAGGAAUCUGCCUAUUAGUGGGGGACAACAUCUCGAAAGGGAUGCUAAUACCGCAUACGUCCUACGGGAGAAAGCAGGGGAUCACUUGUGACCUUGCGCUAAUAGAUGAGCCUAAGUCGGAUUAGCUAGUUGGUGGGGUAAAGGCCUACCAAGGCGACGAUCUGUAGCGGGUCUGAGAGGAUUAUCCGCCACACUGGGACUGGGACACGGCCCAGACUCCUACGGGAGGCAGCAGUGGGGAAUAUUGGACAAUGGGGGGAACCCUGAUCCAGCCAUGCCGCGUGUGUGAAGAAGGCCUUAUGGUUGUAAAGCACUUUAAGCGAGGAGGAGGCUCUUUUGGUUAAUACCCAAGAUGAGUGGACGUUACUCGCAGAAUAAGCACCGGCUAAUUCUGUGCCAGCCGCCGCCGUAA